AAGUAGCUGCAUAGACCAGAGAUCCUCAACGUUUGGCCAGAAGUUUUCAUUUGAUUCAGCAGGUAAAGGAACUGGAAAAGCCUCCAAGUUUCCAGCAUAAGAUGGUUACAGGUUUUCCAUGAUGCCAGAGCAGGAAACCACACCAAUGAGAUGGUAGGAGACGGAUUCAUUCAAUAGGAGGCCCACAUUUAACAUGGUUAACGGAGAUGAGGAUUUUGAGAUAGAUGAGUGGUAAAACUAGGAAGAAUAAAAUUAUCCUUGGUGGCGUAUCUUUUCUAAUCAAGGGAUACUCACCACUAAAUUUCUUUAUCUAAAAGUGCAUCUCCCCUUGAUGCUCAUUGCCCCGCUGAUAUGACUGACACUACCAGGUGCUUUCCAUCCUUACCCUUUAUGGAGUUUCCUACUUUGGUUUGUACAAUAGAUGAGAUUCAACAAUUAUCUUUAGAAGUAAUCUUGUGUUAAUUGCUAAAAAUUAUUUGAUGAUAGGAAAAAGUAUUGAAGUGGACUCAUGAAGCCUUCUCCAAAGUCUAAAGCUUGCUAAUUAAGGAACACGACUAGGGUGUUUUGGAAAUUUGGUGCGACUCAAAUAAGGUGCAUAACUUGGUGAUGAACUCAAACAACUAUUCAUGGCCAUUUUUUUUAGAUUUAGAAAUGUAUAAUCAUAUCAAAGUCAUUUUUUGCUUCUCUCUAUCGAAUGAAGUUAUGGUUUUGUUCAAGCAGUUGGUUUAUCAUGUUAUGCAACAAAGAAUAAGUAUUUUUUUCAAGUCGGGGAAAGACAAAUAGAAUAUGGAUGAACGGAGAAUCGUUUCACCUUAACUUAAA
Molecule: long non-coding RNA, 822 nt
Organism: Macadamia integrifolia
Lineage: Eukaryota; Viridiplantae; Streptophyta; Magnoliopsida; Proteales; Proteaceae
Exons: 5
Source: RefSeq, a predicted model, not a curated record